This 660-nucleotide ribosomal RNA is filed under the name Microbacterium testaceum. RNAcentral's name for it is "bacterial SSU rRNA". It matches the Rfam family "Bacterial small subunit ribosomal RNA", at positions 20 to 693 of the family's 1533-position model. Lineage: Bacteria; Bacillati; Actinomycetota; Actinomycetes; Micrococcales; Microbacteriaceae. The record is from RNAcentral.
UGGCUCAGGAUGAACGCUGGCGGCGUGCUUAACACAUGCAAGUCGAACGGUGAAGCCAAGCUUGCUUGGUGGAUCAGUGGCGAACGGGUGAGUAACACGUGAGCAACCUGCCCUGGACUCUGGGAUAAGCGCUGGAAACGGCGUCUAAUACUGGAUAUGAGACGUGAUCGCAUGGUCGUGUUUGGAAAGAUUUUUCGGUCUGGGAUGGGCUCGCGGCCUAUCAGCUUGUUGGUGAGGUAAUGGCUCACCAAGGCGUCGACGGGUAGCCGGCCUGAGAGGGUGACCGGCCACACUGGGACUGAGACACGGCCCAGACUCCUACGGGAGGCAGCAGUGGGGAAUAUUGCACAAUGGGCGGAAGCCUGAUGCAGCAACGCCGCGUGAGGGAUGACGGCCUUCGGGUUGUAAACCUCUUUUAGCAGGGAAGAAGCGAAAGUGACGGUACCUGCAGAAAAAGCGCCGGCUAACUACGUGCCAGCAGCCGCGGUAAUACGUAGGGCGCAAGCGUUAUCCGGAAUUAUUGGGCGUAAAGAGCUCGUAGGCGGUUUGUCGCGUCUGCUGUGAAAUCCCGAGGCUCAACCUCGGGCCUGCAGUGGGUACGGGCAGACUAGAGUGCGGUAGGGGAGAUUGGAAUUCCUGGUGUAGCGGUGGAAUGCGCAG